Molecule: long non-coding RNA, 629 nt
Filed under: Medicago truncatula (barrel medic)
Lineage: Eukaryota; Viridiplantae; Streptophyta; Magnoliopsida; Fabales; Fabaceae
Description: lncRNA gene17180
Source: RNAcentral
CGCCGGCGACACUUUACUCGCCGUCGUCUUCGGAAUCUGAAACAUCACCGGUUGUUUAUCCUUCCCAUCGCUAUGACUCCUCAAAAGCAAGUUCCGUAGCUUCCACCGAUUCGAUCCUGAACCUGCUGAACUACUCUUCUUUCGCUCAAUUCCAACCGAAUUAGGGUUCCAAACGCAGUAACUCCCUUCCGCUACGCCUUCUAGGUCGAUACUCUCGUCGGUUGAAGAUGAACACGAUGCCGUAGCUUCGCUGCUUUCUUCAAACAUCAGCGUUCGUAGCGGUAAACGACGUCGUGUUGUUGUUUCGUUCGGAACCGGCGAAACGGAAGAAACGACACCGUCAUCGUCGUCGUUUAGUAGAUUUUGAUCGAAAACUGGAUAAUACAAAGGUUUGAUCUGACCGUUGUAGAAAAUGUCAUCGGCGGAAACCACGGAGAAAUUCGUUGAAUCCCUCGAAACCACCGCAAACUCAAAUUCACUAUCCUCGUCUUUUUCGUUGUCGUUUUGAGUCUUCAAUUUGUUGUCGUCUUCCCAUGGUUGAUAAAGCGCGUCUUCGUCGGAAUGAGGAUCCCACCGAAGCUCAUCGAUGACUCUAGCGGCGAUUUCAGCGAGUGUUUCCGACGAGUAAC